This is a microRNA precursor of Oryza sativa Japonica Group (Japanese rice), 203 nucleotides long. It matches the Rfam family "MIR812 microRNA precursor family". The record is from Rfam. Lineage: Eukaryota; Viridiplantae; Streptophyta; Magnoliopsida; Poales; Poaceae.
AAAAAGACAAACCCUGGGUUUCCGUGUCCAACGUUUGACUGUCCGUCUUAUAUGAAAUUUUUUUAUAAUCAAUAUUUUUAUUGUUGUUAGAUGAUAAAACAUAAUUAAUACUUUAUGCGUGACUUGUUUUUUUAAUUUUUUUUUAUAUUUUUUUUAAAUAAGACGGUUAAACAUUUAACAUGAAAUCGGUCGUAGCAGUUAAG